This 77-nucleotide transfer RNA is filed under the name Deltaproteobacteria bacterium. RNAcentral's name for it is "tRNA-Pro". It matches the Rfam family "tRNA". Rfam says of the family: Transfer RNA (tRNA) molecules are approximately 80 nucleotides in length. Their secondary structure includes four short double-helical elements and three loops (D, anti-codon, and T loops). Further hydrogen bonds mediate the characteristic L-shaped molecular structure. tRNAs have two regions of fundamental functional importance: the anti-codon, which is responsible for specific mRNA codon recognition, and the 3' end, to which the tRNAs corresponding amino acid is attached (by aminoacyl-tRNA synthetases). tRNAs cope with the degeneracy of the genetic code in two manners: having more than one tRNA (with a specific anti-codon) for a particular amino acid; and 'wobble' base-pairing, i.e. permitting non-standard base-pairing at the 3rd anti-codon position. The record is from RNAcentral. Lineage: Bacteria; Pseudomonadati; Myxococcota; Myxococcia.
CGGGGAGUAGCGCAGUUUGGUAGCGUACCUGCCUUGGGAGCAGGUGGUCGCAGGUUCAAAUCCUGUCUCCCCGACCA